Spinacia oleracea (spinach) is the source of this 520-nucleotide long non-coding RNA. RefSeq lists it as uncharacterized. The record is from RefSeq and is a predicted model, not a curated record. NCBI's taxonomy places the organism in Eukaryota, Viridiplantae, Streptophyta, Magnoliopsida, Caryophyllales, Amaranthaceae. The transcript has 2 exons.
GUUAUAUUAAUAAAAUUAAUGUCUGGUUUGCAGUGUUAUAUUAAUAAAAUUAAUGUCUGGUUUGCAGUGUUAAAUAAAGCUGAGAUGCGAUGUUAAAUUAAUGUUUGCUUUGCAGUCCAAUCAUUAUGAUAUUGAUUUGAAUAUGCAUGAAUGUAAAUUUCAGGUUAUUGGGUGUGUCAGUAGAUGAUCUGUUGGGACUAGCCAACCGAACAGAACAAAGUAUCCCCAACAACUAGGCUUAUUGCUCACUAAUUGAAAAGGCAGAGCAUUUCAUCUUCAUUGAGGAUGGUGCAUACGGUCAAGAAUUACGAGCUACUUUAAGUAUGUUGUGUUUUAUAGGGUUUUGGCGCACAUAAAUAUUAGAUAGGUUUUAAAAAAUAAAUCUAAUGAUUAUUGGGAGAGUUUUUUAUUUUAGUAGAGGUAGUUCUAGAACAAUAUUUGUUUUAACUAUUCAGACAACUGUAAUAGAUAUAUAUUAUGCUUAUGAAUUUAAGUUAUUUGAAAUGUUUACUUUUUUGAA